UUAAGGGCGCACGGUGGAUGCCUUGGCACUAGAAGCCGACGAAGGACGUUACUAACGACGAUAUGCUUUGGGGAGCUGUAAGUAAGCUUUGAUCCAGAGAUUUCCGAAUGGGGAAACCCAGCACGAGUUAUGUCGUGUUAUCGAUAUGUGAAUACAUAGCAUAUCUGAAGGCAGACGCGGAGAACUGAAACAUCUUAGUACCCGCAGGAAGAGAAAGAAAAAUCGAUUCCCUGAGUAGCGGCGAGCGAAACGGGAAGAGCCCAAACCAACGAGCUUGCUUGUUGGGGUUGUAGGACACUCUAUACGGAGUUACAAAAGAACAGACUAGACGAAUCAUCUGGAAAGAUGAAUCAAAGAAGGUAAUAAUCCUGUAGUCGAAAGUUUGUUCACUCUUGAGUGGAUCCUGAGUACGACGGAACACGAGAAAUUCCGUCGGAAUCUGGGAGGACCAUCUCCCAAGGCUAAAUACUCUCUAGUGACCGAUAGUGAACCAGUACCGUGAGGGAAAGGUGAAAAGUACCCCGGAAGGGGAGUGAAAUAGAACUUGAAACCGUGUGCUUACAAGUAGUCAGAGCCCGUUAAUGGGUGAUGGCGUGCCUUUUGUAGAAUGAACCGGCGAGUUACGAUUUGAUGCAAGGUUAAGCAGUGAAUGUGGAGCCGUAGCGAAAGCGAGUCUGAAUAGGGCGUUGAGUAUUUGGUCGUAGACCCGAAACCAGGUGAUCUACCCAUGACCAGGUUGAAGUUCAGGUAACACUGAAUGGAGGACCGAACCGACUUACGUUGAAAAGUGAGCGGAUGAGUUGUGGGUAGCGGAGAAAUUCCAAUCGAACCUGGAGAUAGCUGGUUCUCUCCGAAAUAGCUUUAGGGCUAGCCUCAAGUGAUGAUUAUUGGAGGUAGAGCACUGUUUGGACGAGGGGCCCUUAUCGGGUUACCGAAUUCAGACAAACUCCGAAUGCCAAUCAAUUUAACUUGGGAGUCAGAACGCGGGUGAUAAGGUCCGUGUUCGAAAGGGAAACAGCCCAGACCACCAGCUAAGGUCCCAAAAUAUAUGUUAAGUGGAAAAGGAUGUGGCGUUGCCCAGACAACUAGGAUGUUGGCUUAGAAGCAGCCAUCAUUUAAAGAGUGCGUAAUAGCUCACUAGUCGAGUGACACUGCGCCGAAAAUGUACCGGGGCUAAACAUAUUACCGAAGCUGUGGAUUGUCCGUAAGGACAAUGGUAGGAGAGCGUUCUAAGGGCGUUGAAGCAUGAUCGCAAGGACAUGUGGAGCGCUUAGAAGUGAGAAUGCCGGUGUGAGUAGCGAAAGACGGGUGAGAAUCCCGUCCACCGAUUGACUAAGGUUUCCAGAGGAAGGCUCGUCCGCUCUGGGUUAGUCGGGUCCUAAGCUGAGGCCGAUAGGCGUAGGCGAUGGAUAACAGGUUGAUAUUCCUGUACCACCAUUAUUCGUUUUAAGCGAUGGGGGGACGCAGUAGGAUAGGCGAAGCGUACGAUUGGAUUGUACGUCCAAGCAGUGAGAUUGAGUGUUAGGCAAAUCCGGCACUCUUAAGAUUGAGCUGUGAUGGGGAGAGGAAAUUGUUUCCUCGAGUCGUUGAUUUCACACUGCCAAGAAAAGCCUCUAGCUAGAAUUGUGGUGCCCGUACCGCAAACCGACACAGGUAGUCAAGAUGAGAAUUCUAAGGUGAGCGAGCGAACUCUCGUUAAGGAACUCGGCAAAAUGACCCCGUAACUUCGGGAGAAGGGGUGCUCUUUAGGGUUAACGCCCAGGAGAGCCGCAGUGAAUAGGCCCAAGCGACUGUUUAUCAAAAACACAGGUCUCUGCUAAACCGUAAGGUGAUGUAUAGGGGCUGACGCCUGCCCGGUGCUGGAAGGUUAAGAGGAGUGGUUAGCUUCUGCGAAGCUACGAAUCGAAGCCCCAGUAAACGGCGGCCGUAACUAUAACGGUCCUAAGGUAGCGAAAUUCCUUGUCGGGUAAGUUCCGACCCGCACGAAAGGCGUAACGAUUUGGGCACUGUCUCAACGAGAGACUCGGUGAAAUCAUAGUACCUGUGAAGAUGCAGGUUACCCGCGACAGGACGGAAAGACCCCGUGGAGCUUUACUGUAGUCUGAUAUUGAAAUUCGGCACAGCUUGUACAGGAUAGGUAGGAGCCUGAGAUACGUGAGCGCUAGCUUACGUGGAGGCGUUGGUGGGAUACUACCCUCGCUGUGUUGGAUUUCUAACCCGCACCAUUUAUCAUGGUGGGAGACAGUGUCAGAUGGGCAGUUUGACUGGGGCGGUCGCCUCCUAAAGAGUAACGGAGGCGCUCAAAGGUUUCCUCAGAAUGGUUGGAAAUCAUUCAUAGAGUGUAAAGGCAUAAGGAAGCUUGACUGCGAGACUUACAAGUCGAGCAGGGUCGAAAGACGGACUUAGUGAUCCGGUGGUUCCGCAUGGAAGGGCCAUCGCUCAACGGAUAAAAGCUACCCCGGGGAUAACAGGCUUAUCUCCCCCAAGAGUUCACAUCGACGGGGAGGUUUGGCACCUCGAUGUCGGCUCAUCGCAUCCUGGGGCUGUAGUCGGUCCCAAGGGUUGGGCUGUUCGCCCAUUAAAGCGGUACGCGAGCUGGGUUCAGAACGUCGUGAGACAGUUCGGUCCCUAUCCGUCGUGGGCGUAGGAAAUUUGAGAGGAGCUGUCCUUAGUACGAGAGGACCGGGAUGGACAUACCUCUGGUGUACCAGUUGUCGUGCCAACGGCAUCGCUGGGUAGCUAUGUAUGGACGGGAUAAGUGCUGAAAGCAUCUAAGCAUGAAGCCCCCCUCAAGAUGAGAUUUCCCAACUUCGGUUAUAAGAUCCCUCAAAGAUGAUGAGGUUAAUAGGUUCGAGGUGGAAGCAUAGCGAUAUGUGCAGCUGACGAAUACUAAUCGAUCGAAGACUUAAUCAA
RNAcentral lists this ribosomal RNA (2913 nucleotides) under Staphylococcus saprophyticus. RNAcentral's name for it is "bacterial LSU rRNA". It matches the Rfam family "Bacterial large subunit ribosomal RNA". The record is from RNAcentral. Lineage: Bacteria; Bacillati; Bacillota; Bacilli; Caryophanales; Staphylococcaceae.